CAGACAGCCAGGAUGUUGGCUUAGAAGCAGCCAUCAUUUAAAGAAAGCGUAAUAGCUCACUGGUCGAGUCGGCCUGCGCGGAAGAUGUAACGGGGCUAAACCAUGCACCGAAGCUGCGGCAGCGACGUUUAUGCGUUGUUGGGUAGGGGAGCGUUCUGUAAGCCUGCGAAGGUGGCCUGUGAGGGUUGCUGGAGGUAUCAGAAGUGCGAAUGCUGACAUAAGUAACGAUAAAGCGGGUGAAAAGCCCGCUCGCCGGAAGACCAAGGGUUCCUGUCCAACGUUAAUCGGGGCAGGGUGAGUCGACCCCUAAGGCGAGGCCGAAAGGCGUAGUCGAUGGGAAACGGGUUAAUAUUCCCGUACUUGGUGUUACUGCGAAGGGGGGACGGAGAAGGCUAUGUUGGCCGGGCGACGGUUGUCCCGGUUUAAGCGUGUAGGCUGGUUUUCCAGGCAAAUCCGGAAAAUCAAGGCUGAGGCGUGACGACGAGGCACUACGGUGCUGAAGCAACAAAUGCCCUGCUUCCAGGAAAAGCCUCUAAGCAUCAGGUAACAUCAAAUCGUACCCCAAACCGACACAGGUGGUCAGGUAGAGAAUACCAAGGCGCUUGAGAGAACUCGGGUGAAGGAACUAGGCAAAAUGGUGCCGUAACUUCGGGAGAAGGCACGCUGACAC
RNAcentral lists this ribosomal RNA (670 nucleotides) under Salmonella enterica subsp. enterica serovar Bareilly. RNAcentral's name for it is "partial 23S ribosomal RNA". It matches the Rfam family "Bacterial large subunit ribosomal RNA", at positions 1086 to 1757 of the family's 2925-position model. The record is from RNAcentral. Lineage: Bacteria; Pseudomonadati; Pseudomonadota; Gammaproteobacteria; Enterobacterales; Enterobacteriaceae.